This is a long non-coding RNA of Aegilops tauschii subsp. strangulata, 363 nucleotides long. RefSeq lists it as uncharacterized. NCBI's taxonomy places the organism in Eukaryota, Viridiplantae, Streptophyta, Magnoliopsida, Poales, Poaceae. The record is from RefSeq and is a predicted model, not a curated record.
CCACUCCUCGAUCUGCACGAUGGGGACGAUCUACAGGAUGCGACCCAGCUGCAGGAGCCAGGAGAGAUGCUCAGACGAUCGCCGGACAGAGAAAAUAAGCAGCGGCCUCUCCUCAGAGAAGGUGGUCGGACCUCUUCCUCCUCAACCGCUAUGGUCGUCCACAAAGAUGAAAUAUGUAGCAGCAGAAGCAGAGAGAAGGAAGAGAAUAGCUUCUGAGGAAGAUUCGAGUCUACAGGAAUUUGAUCAGUGUGUUGAGUACCACUCAAUUGAGAAGCAGAAAAGGUUAAUCGUCUUGAUAGAGGCGAGGGUCCCGAUCUUUCGAUGAGAUGAUAACUAUCGAUUUGGUGGAGACGACUUUGACGA